UGGGGAAUAUUGGACAAUGGGCGCAAGCCUGAUCCAGCCAUGCCGCGUGAGUGAUGAAGGCCUUAGGGUUGUAAAGCUCUUUCGCCGGUGAAGAUAAUGACGGUAACCGGAGAAGAAGCCCCGGCUAACUUCGUGCCAGCAGCCGCGGUAAUACGAAGGGGGCUAGCGUUGCUCGGAAUCACUGGGCGUAAAGCGCACGUAGGCGGAUCGUUAAGUCAGGGGUGAAAUCCUGGAGCUCAACUCCAGAACUGCUCUUGAUACUGGCGAUCUCGAGUUCGAGAGAGGUUGGUGGAACUCCGAGUGUAGAGGUGAAAUUCGUAGAUAUUCGGAAGAACACCAGUGGCGAAGGCGGCCAACUGGCUCGAUACUGACGCUGAGGUGCGAAAGCGUGGGGAGCAAAACAGGAUUAGAUACCCUGGUAGUCCACGCCGUAAACGAUGGAUGCUAGCCGUUGGGGGGUUUACCUCUCAGUGGCGCAGCUAACGCCUUAAGCAUCCCGCCUGGGGAGUACGGUCGCAAGAUUAAAACUUAAAUGAAUUGACGGGGUCAUAGCUGUUUU
This 559-nucleotide ribosomal RNA is filed under the name uncultured bacterium. RNAcentral's name for it is "partial 16S ribosomal RNA". It matches the Rfam family "Bacterial small subunit ribosomal RNA", at positions 355 to 936 of the family's 1533-position model. The record is from RNAcentral.